RNA transcript from Hordeum vulgare subsp. vulgare (domesticated barley), 2091 nucleotides. RefSeq lists it as uncharacterized. NCBI's taxonomy places the organism in Eukaryota, Viridiplantae, Streptophyta, Magnoliopsida, Poales, Poaceae. The transcript has 5 exons. The record is from RefSeq and is a predicted model, not a curated record.
AUCCCCGCGAAACACCCGCGGACGGCGACGGCGACGACGUCGUGGGAUCUGGCCUGGACCUCUGGAUUGCCUCCGCCGUGGUCCGUGUCGGUGGAGCUGCGCCCGUGGUUGGUCGAUUUUGUGCCUGCCACAGCUUCCGGUUGGGGCUAAAUUUCCCCAUAGGUUCGAGUUUCAACUCGGGAGGGUGAAUAUGCUAUUUGUGAUAUCCAAUUUUUCAUCGCAUGGAUGAAUUCUGAAGAUUUGGUUGUAUAUAAGUCAAGAUAGUAAGGGACAUUGAUUUGUUUCCACAAUCAAUAUGGGGGCUAAUUGUUGCAUAGCUGCAAGCAGAGGCCUGAGCCAUCAGUAGCUUCAGUUGAAGUUUUGGCAUACAGGACAAGACACUCGCCGUCAUGGAGCUUCCGGUGGGGACAACCGCACACACAUAGAGGAUAUAAUGGAAAACGCUGCACUGUUUUCCAAUCACAGUAGUGGAAACGUUCGGCCAGAACUAAAGAGUGGUUCCAUUGCACCAACCGAAGGCCAUCCCAAUGAGGACAAUCUUUCUGAUGUACUCCGCGGGUCAAAUGGCAAAAACCUGACAAGAAGAUGAAGCAUCCAAACAUUCUAAAGCUGGUUCUCAAGCCGUUCAAUCUACAGCGAGCAAUUCACUUCCUGAGGCAAAGUCCUGCAAAUCAUCACAUAUGGUAAAUGUUGCUUCAGACAUCAAGACAUCAAAAUCCCUUCCUUCAACGCCACCCAUAGUAUCCAGAUCAGAUCCUUCAUCCUCUAGGUGUCAUUCUCUUCACGUGGACUCAUUCUCAAUGAGGAAAGCACGUCGAUCACCUGGACAUCAACUAUGUAGACAGAUCUCGGACAGCAAGAUCCCAUCUCUCAAGUCCUUCAGUGAGAGUAGCUAUGCAGGAGGAAGGCCGUCGAGUUCAAUGCUCUCGACCUGCAGUAAUGAUCCAUUUGGAGGAGGAUCACAACAUGGGGGAUCAUCGGAUGGGUGGUCAACUCGCACAUUUCUGACUUAGUGGCCUCAUCUCAAAGAGAGAGGUGGUCAGUUGAAAGUGAGCUCUUUGGCUCCAUCAGCAGUAAAAUAGCUAGAUCAAAUGAUUCACAUGCAACUGUUCUCUCUCCUGACGAGGGGAUAUGCAAGCUCUGUUCAAAGCUAUUGAAGGAACGGUCUACAUGGAGUUCUCAUGAUCUGGGAGUAGUAGCUGUUCUAUUCUGUGGUCAUGCAUACCAUGCAAACUGUUUGGAUAGUACUACUUCAGAGAGUGAGAAAUAUGAUCCUCCAUGUCCUGUAUGCACCCAUGGUGAGAAAGGUGCAGCAAAGCUAUUUGUAAGCUGGACUCAAAGAGUAAGAGCAGGAAAUCUAAAAAUGUGAUGUCAGAUACUGAUAUAGAUAGGAGCUCUAAGCACAAGAAGAGAAGUAUGAGGGAACCCAGGUUAGGCACAAGUUCUAGCAUGAAGGAUUCAUUUCGUCGACCAUUUUUAAAGAGGCAUUUUUCAAUUGGUUCUCGACCGCCAAGAUCACUCCUAGGGAGUGAGCCAACAGGAAAGAAAAGCUUCUGGGCAAGACACUGGAGAGAAUAGCCGGCUACACAUCAUCAACGUGGAAAUCAUUUCAUGGUGUGAGCGAGCAAGGAUAGAAGUGAAGCUACAUAUUUUUAUGUUUCGGUACUAUUCAUUAAAGCACACUUUGUGCUGAACAAAUCUAGUGAGACUAGAAAUCUUCUUAUACCUGCAACUGAGGAUUGUUGCGGUCUAACUUUAUUCCUAGGCAAUGUAAUAGAAUAGAAAAUGGGAAUAGUCUCCCAGGGCGGAUUUAAAGGUUUAAAUCUGCUAUGCUAUAUUGUUAUCUUUCCAUUUUCUUUUGUAAUCAUUAUUUGCCAGUUAGUAUGCAUAAUUUGGAUACUAGCAUCCAGAUAGUUCUCUUCACAGGAACAUGAGUAUUUUGGGACUAUAGCUCAGAAGGAUUUCAGACUGAAAGAAGCAGGAGUUCAAAUAUUAUAGCUCAUCUGGCGAUUCAAAUGUACUAGUAGAUUUUACAAGAUGUGCAAGUGGAACCAAGUGCUGAAUGGUUAAUCUGAGGAUUAUUGUCUUGAA